UACGAAGGGGCUAGCGUUGCUCGGAAUCACUGGGCGUAAAGCGCACGUAGGCGGCUUCUUAAGUCAGGGGUGAAAUCCUGGAGCUCAACUCCAGAACUGCCCUUGAUACUGAGAGGCUCGAGUCCGGGAGAGGUGAGUGGAACUCCGAGUGUAGAGGUGAAAUUCGUAGAUAUUCGGAAGAACACCAGUGGCGAAGGCGGCUCACUGGCCCGGUACUGACGCUGAGGUGCGAAAGCGUGGGGAGCAAACAGG
RNAcentral lists this ribosomal RNA (252 nucleotides) under uncultured bacterium. RNAcentral's name for it is "partial 16S ribosomal RNA". It matches the Rfam family "Bacterial small subunit ribosomal RNA", at positions 524 to 776 of the family's 1533-position model. The record is from RNAcentral.